UUAAGCGUCUCGCGGUACCUUCUUAGGUCUCAUUCGUCGGGCACUGCUUGGUUGAGGCGCACGUUUGAACACUGAAGAAUGGAAGAGCAUCUCAUUGGAGCAACCCAAGUGCCUACCCACGCAGACAUCCUUCACUGCAGAGGACACCAAAAAAACUCAAGACCCAGUAGCUGCGGGUAAUAAACGAGCAGAUGUUGAAGCCAAAAAAGAGGCACUCACAGAGGUCCAACACCAAAUGUUGGCUCUGCCUGUGUAGCCACCACCCUACUCAACCAAGGAACAUAGAUCCCUCACACAAUAGGGAUGAUAAUUCAAAUAAAGAUGGCACAUUCUUAAAGGGAUGCUCACCCAGCCAGAUCAAUGAUUUUGUUAAACCAAACACCAAAUCCUCCAUGGUGCCGCCUGCACAGAUAAAGCCUUUAAAGCCUGAUUUCUCAUCUCGGAACCAGUCUUUGCAAAUCACUGGCCUCUCACCAUCCUUCAUUACAGUGAUAGUCCAGCAUCUCAUAACUGAUCCUGAGGAAUUCAGUUGCUUCCCAGGGUGAAUACAGGUUGUCCUGAUGAUGACAUGUUCCUUUAUCUUAUGGUUCCCACAGAUCUGCCUGGGGACAAACUAGUGGAAAGAGUUGAAAGUGGAGCAGCUUCUGUUUCUGUGUACCACUGAAAAGCCUCCAGAGUUAAGAGGUACUGUUACCAGUAACCUGCUUGUUCAAAGGUCCAGCACCUUAUCUGGAGCCCAAGAAUAAUUUGAGGGAAACUGGAGGCUGUGUUUCUGCUCGACUCCAGUCUGAAGUCAGAGGUCUGAGGAAAGAACAAGGUGCAUAUAAAUGGAAUCCAAGUCUCUUGGAGGUCAUCAGAAAGGGAAUUUUCAAACCUUUUAUGGUACAGCCUAGCUGAUUAAGUUAAUAUACAAUCAUUUUAGUCUUCCUAAUAAAGCUUUCCUUUUUAACCUUUA
Galeopterus variegatus (Sunda flying lemur) is the source of this 955-nucleotide long non-coding RNA. RefSeq lists it as uncharacterized. The transcript has 13 exons. NCBI's taxonomy places the organism in Eukaryota, Metazoa, Chordata, Mammalia, Dermoptera, Cynocephalidae. The record is from RefSeq and is a predicted model, not a curated record.